GUGCGGGCGAUACGGGCAGACUUGAGUACUGCAGGGGAGACUGGAAUUCCUGGUGUAGCGGUGGAAUGCGCAGAUAUCGGGAGGAACACCGGUGGCGAAGGCGGGUCUCUGGGCAGUAACUGACGCUGAGGAGCGAAAGCGUGGGGAGCGAACAGGAUUAGAUACCCUGGUAGUCCACGCCGUAAACGGUGGGUACUAGGUGUGGGUUUCCUUCCUUGGGAUCCGUGCCGUAGCUAACGCAUUAAGUACCCCGCCUGGGGAGUACGGCCGCAAGGCUAAAACUCAAAGAAAUUGACGGGGGCCCGCACAAGCGGCGGAGCAUGUGGAUUAAUUCGAUGCAACGCGAAGAACCUUACCUGGGUUUGACAUGCACAGGACGCCGGCAGAGAUGUCGGUUCCCUUGUGGCCUGUGUGCAGGUGGUGCAUGGCUGUCGUCAGCUCGUGUCGUGAGAUGUUGGGUUAAGUCCCGCAACGAGCGCAACCCUUGUCUCAUGUUGCCAGCGGGUAAUGCCGGGGACUCGUGAGAGACUGCCGGGGUCAACUCGGAGGAAGGUGGGGAUGACGUCAAGUCAUCAUGCCCCUUAUGUCCAGGGCUUCACACAUGCUACAAUGGCCGGUACAAAGGGCUGCGAUGCCGUGAGGUGGAGCGAAUCCUUUCAAAGCCGGUCUCAGUUCGGAUCGGGG
This 684-nucleotide ribosomal RNA is filed under the name uncultured bacterium. Its description in RNAcentral is "bacterial SSU rRNA". It matches the Rfam family "Bacterial small subunit ribosomal RNA", at positions 621 to 1303 of the family's 1533-position model. The record is from RNAcentral.